CCCUUAGAUGUUCUGGGCCGCACGCGUGCUACACUGAGUGGAUCAGCGGGUCAGGUUGCGCGAAAGUGUUUCCUAAUCUUGAAAUCCGCUCGUGAUGGGGAUUGACGGUUGCAAUUUUCCGUCAUGAACGAGGAAUACCUUGUAAGCGCGGGUCAUCAUCCCGCGCUGAAUACGUCCCUGCCCUUUGUACACACCGCCCGUCGCUCCUACCGAUUGAGUGGUCCGGUGAGGCUUUGGGAUCUGAGCAAAAAGAGCGUUUCGCUCGUUUGGCUCGGAAAACUCAGUCGAACCUUAUCAUUUAGAGGAAGGAGAAGUCGCAACA
RNAcentral lists this ribosomal RNA (322 nucleotides) under uncultured eukaryote. RNAcentral's name for it is "partial 18S ribosomal RNA". It matches the Rfam family "Eukaryotic small subunit ribosomal RNA", at positions 1470 to 1796 of the family's 1831-position model. The record is from RNAcentral.